RNAcentral lists this transfer RNA (72 nucleotides) under Camelus bactrianus (Bactrian camel). It matches the Rfam family "tRNA". From Rfam's summary of the family: Transfer RNA (tRNA) molecules are approximately 80 nucleotides in length. Their secondary structure includes four short double-helical elements and three loops (D, anti-codon, and T loops). Lineage: Eukaryota; Metazoa; Chordata; Mammalia; Artiodactyla; Camelidae. RNAcentral also lists the same sequence under 2 other names. The record is from Rfam by way of RNAcentral.
UGGCAUAAAGCUCAGUGGUAAAGUGUGUGCUUAGCACGCACAAGGUCCUAGGUUCAAGCCCCAGUACCUCUG